RNAcentral lists this ribosomal RNA (462 nucleotides) under Heteropodarke pleijeli. Its description in RNAcentral is "partial 16S ribosomal RNA". It matches the Rfam family "Bacterial large subunit ribosomal RNA", at positions 1923 to 2597 of the family's 2925-position model. Lineage: Eukaryota; Metazoa; Annelida; Polychaeta; Phyllodocida; Hesionidae. The record is from RNAcentral.
UUAAACGGCCGCGGUACCCUGACCGUGCAAAGGUAGCAUAAUAAAUUGCCUUUUAAUUGGAGGCUAGAAUGAAAGGACAAAUGCAGAGCCACUUGUCUCAUAACUACACACAUAAAUUAGUACUCAGGUGAAGAAACCUGAAUUAAACUAAAAGACAAGAAGACCCUAUUGAGUUUCACUUUACCUUCUACAUUGAGGUUAUUAUCAACAAAUCUCAAAAAAGAAUAAAAGUUUGGUUGGGGCAACCAAGGAUCAAACCUCACAUCCUUCUAUACAAAAGAACCUAAUUCUAUAACCCUAUCCAGUUUAACCGAAAAGAGAACAACAUUACCAUAGGGAUAACAGGCUAAUUUCUUCAAAGAGUCCACAUUGACGAAGAAGUUUGGCACCUCGAUGUUGGCUUAAGAUAACCCUCAAGUGCAGAAGCUUGAAACGGUAGGUUUGUUCAACCAUUAAAAUCUU